Long non-coding RNA from Xenopus tropicalis (tropical clawed frog), 3126 nucleotides. RefSeq lists it as uncharacterized. The transcript has 3 exons. Lineage: Eukaryota; Metazoa; Chordata; Amphibia; Anura; Pipidae. The record is from RefSeq and is a predicted model, not a curated record.
AGCAGGGAUCUGGGAAUUUAGAUAUGCAGCGCCCAUGUCUGCUAACUCCCCAAAUAGUCCACUAAUCAUAGGUAAUAGCAAUUCUGUUCCCAAUGAAAAGUCUAAAACUGCUCUCAAGAAAAGAAAAGCUUGUCAUGCAUGUAAUAACCCCAGAAUGGAAGGAAAGAAGUUCCAUGAAGACUGCUUCAGCCGUAGGAUCCAGUGAGGCUACUCCUUCUACCUCUACAGACCACAUGAAAGAAUAUUUUUCCUGGAUAAAGAAAGUGGUCUCUUCUUCUUCUUCCUAAUGUGUCAAUCCUGGCACAAAAGAAACACCUAUUCCUGGACUCCGAAACAGCAUACACCAUGGGUUUAUCCCAAGUUUCGAAGGCAACAGUAAAAGCUUUGCACCAUCUUAGAUCUCAGGGAUGCUUACUAUCACGUUCCGGUAGCCCUCCAAGAUGAAAGGUUCCGGAGGUUUGCAAUACUUGCCUACCCUUGCCUACCACUUCCAAUUUACUUGCCUACCCUUUGGGUUGUCAACUUCAUCCAGAACUUUCCCAAAGAUUCUGAUAGUUCUAGUUGCUCAUCUGAGGAUAUCAGGUGUUCAGAUAUUCCAUUAUUUGGACGAUCUCCUAAUCAAAGCUCCUUCCAGGGAGAAGCUAGUGUCGGACGUCUAUGUAGUCCUGCCGAGCCUUCAAUCUCAUGGUUGGCUCAUCAAUUUGGAGAAGAGCAACAUUAUUCCAACUCAGGGACUCAAGUUUUUAGGAGCAGUCAUAAGUUCAAGACAAACAGAUUAUGAGGAUCCUUGUCCUCAUGACUUCUUGCACAUAGAUGGUCCCUUGGGCACAGUGGCAUUCAAGAUCCCUUCAGAGUUGGUUUCUCUGGAGAUGGAACAAGGUGGAUCUUCACCAGAAUUUCUACUUACCUCCUUAUGUUUGUCUGCAGUUGAACUGGUGGCUGACUUUGGGAAAUCUGGAAAAGAAGCAACAUUUAGGGAAGAUUCAGUGGGAUGUCCUGACCUUGGAUGCGUCAGCCACAGACUGGGUGCUCACCUGCACUCAAACUCGGCUCAAGGUCAUUGAGAGUGCAGACUUCGGGAUGUACCUUUGAACGUUCUGGAGAUAAGAGCGCUGUGGGAAGCUAUUCAGACAUUUCUCCAAUCCUCAGAGGGAGAUCCUUUCUUUGUAGACUAGGCAACACUUCAGCAGUACAGUACGUAAAGAAACAGGGGGGGACCAGGAGUCUAUCUCUCCCAGGCGAGAUAGCCCCAGAACAGAAUCUAUCCAAUCUGUCCGCUAUGUAUUUGCCGGACAAACAAAAUAUUUCCACAGACUUUCUGAGCUGAACCCAAAUUCAGCCUGGAGAGUGGGAGUUGGAGGACAAGGCGUUCAAGUUUAUCACCAAGAUCUGGGGAUAUCCAGAAGUAGAUCUCUUUGCAACUUCUUCCAACAAGAAGGUUUAAAGAUUCAUGACGAAAUUUCCUUCAGAAGGUGCAGAGGCAGUGGAUGCCUUAACAGCUCCUUGGCGCUUCAAGAUGGGAUAUGCUUUCCCUCCUUUUCUUUUGAUGCUACUUCUGCUAAGGAGGAUAGCCUCAUAGAGAGUAACCAUAAUUCUGACCUCUUUGACCGUGAAGAGUCUGGUUCCUGAUCUUGAAGAGUCUGGCUUAUUGUCCACCUAUCCUUUUGAAUCAAUUUUUUUACUACUAUCUGCUUCAUUAGGGGCUGGUCCGGCAUCUGGAUCCCCAAGUUUUUAGUUUGGUAACCUGGAAAUUGAAGAGUCUAAAUUGAGAGAGGUUGGUUGUUCGGAACAGGUGGUCUCAACUCUUAUGGCUUCUAGAAAGCCUUCUACCAAGACUACUUACUAUAGGAUCUGGGACAAGUUUGUCCAAUGGUGUCUGGAAAAAGAUCUCAAUCCUGUUAAGCUACUGUAGAAGUCCUGGAGCUUCUUCAAACAGGACUAGACAAGGGACUAAGUCCUAGUGCUGUAAAAGUCAAAAUUUUGGCUAUUUCUGCCCUCUGUGGAAUAAGAUUGUCCAAUAUACUCAUUCAAAGAUCCUGUGUGACCAAGGCGAAGUUAAAGCCGAAGGCAAGAUCUUUCUGUCCCUCGUGGGAUUUAACUAAGGUAGUUGAAAUGCUAUCUGAACCUCCAUUUAAGCUGGCCAUACACGCACCGAUAAUAUCGUACGAAACCUUGUUUCGUACGAUAUUCGGUGCGUGUAUGGCAAGUUGGCGAGUCGACCGAUAUAGCAGGAAGCUGCUCGCCGAUCGUCCAGGUUAAAAGAUUUUGAUCGGGCGCCAUAGAAAAUGUAAAUUGCCGGUGGGAUGGCAUACGCGGCGAUUUACAUUUUCGCCGGUCGGAUGGCAUUUCGGGGUUUAUUGGGUUUAUUUAAUGGUUAAAUAUUCUUCAACAGAUUAAAGGAAUGAAGAUCUUACAGAAUUUACAGAAAGACCCAUUACCCAGAAAACUUAGGUCCCAAGUUUUCAAGAUAAUAGAUCCAGUAUAAGCUAAACAAAACAGUUUUUGUUUUAUAUUAAAUUAGUCUCCAUAAGCAACAGAAUUUUAAAACGUUAAGGUGAUUGGUCAGUUCUUAUGUACCUACCCCAUAGCUCUGUUUAACUUAUCAAAUUGUUACACCAAAUACCUAAUAAUACCUCUAAUAAUACCUAAUAAUACCUAAUAAUACCUCUUGACUGUGAUUUUUAUUUUACCAUGUAGUUUUUCUUUUACCAAGAAGUAGAUUCACUAAGAUUGGGCUGGUCAGGGCUUAUGCCAUUAACCAUGAUGCCAGUGCAAAAACCAUGGUCGGACUGGCCCACUGGGAAAAAUUCUAGUGGGCAGGAACUGGUGGUCCCUGCUGCAGCUGUCCUAGGCCCAUUUAGUUUUUGUGGUCCCUAGACUACUCACCCUCCAGACACUGACCAGCCACUCAAGCCUGCUGACUGUCUGCCCACCAAAAGAUCACAGUUAGUGAUGGGCAUGGAUUUGCGGCGAAUUUCCACGUUUUGCCAUUGGCGGAUUGUUUCGCGAAAUGGAUGGAAAAAUUUUCUGUGCUGUCGCAAGAAUAGCCGCGUGUCAAAAAAUUGUCGCAAGAAUAGUCGCGGGCGUCAAAAGAAUAGUCGCACGUCCAAAAUUGUCGCAAGAAUA